This 377-nucleotide ribosomal RNA is filed under the name uncultured bacterium. Its description in RNAcentral is "bacterial SSU rRNA". It matches the Rfam family "Bacterial small subunit ribosomal RNA", at positions 521 to 896 of the family's 1533-position model. The record is from RNAcentral.
UAAUACAGAGGGUGCAAGCGUUAAUCGGAAUUACUGGGCGUAAAGGGCGCGUAGGUGGUUCUUUAAGUGAGAUGUGAAAUCCCCGGGCUUAACCUGGGAAUGGCAUCUUAUACUGGAGAGCUGGAGUGCAGUAGAGGGUAGUGGAAUUUCCGGUGUAGCGGUGAAAUGCGUAGAUAUCGGAAGGAACACCAGUGGCGAAGGCGGCUACCUGGACUGACACUGACACUGAGGCGCGAAAGCGUGGGGAGCAAACAGGAUUAGAUACCCUGGUAGUCCACGCUGUAAACGAUGAAAACUAGAUGUUGGGUAGCUUAGACUAUUCAGUAUCGAAGCUAACGCGAUAAGUUUUCCGCCUGGGGAGUACGGUCGCAAGAUUA